UGACCUCAAAUCAGGUAGGAGUACCCGCUGAACUUAAGCAUAUCAAUAAGCGGAGGA
Molecule: ribosomal RNA, 57 nt
Filed under: Saccharomyces cerevisiae (brewer's yeast)
Lineage: Eukaryota; Fungi; Ascomycota; Saccharomycetes; Saccharomycetales; Saccharomycetaceae
Also listed under: 1 other name
Description: partial 28S ribosomal RNA
Rfam family: Eukaryotic large subunit ribosomal RNA
Source: RNAcentral